Molecule: long non-coding RNA, 284 nt
Filed under: Gossypium barbadense (sea-island cotton)
Lineage: Eukaryota; Viridiplantae; Streptophyta; Magnoliopsida; Malvales; Malvaceae
Description: long non-coding RNA (GBAR_LNC001549)
Source: RNAcentral
UGGAACAAUGUUUAAGUUUUCAAAAAUUUUGUAUCUGCUCGGUUUAGUCCCUACCACUUUCUAAAGCAUGUUUAAGGUAUCAUUGACCUAAGAAAGGGACUUAUUGUUGAUAUUUGAAUAUGAUAUGAAAAUGUAUGAUUGUUGACUGUGAAAUGAUUAUGAAAUGUUCUGAUAUUCCAGUAAUGCCUCUUUACCCUAAUCCAGUGAAGGAUACGGGUUAGGGGUAUUACAAACUCAUGCCAGGCUUGCUCGACAAGGAUCCGCAUGCUGCUCGCUCAUCCGGC